CAGUGAUGUUCUCUGCUGUAGAUGCAGCGCGACGCAGCACGGCGAAUCCUUGACAUGUGGUGAAAAGACAAGAACAUGUGACGAGGCAUCUGGCCCUCAGAUUCACCAGUAAAAAGCUUCUUCUGCUGUUUGUCCCAUGACCCCCCGUGCGAGCCUGACACACACCUUGACCUCCACAAAAAUACGAGAGCUUUCAUGCAAUACAAAUAUUAAUGAACAGUUCUUUUUCCAUUCCACAUAUCCCUCAAAAGAGCUAAAACGGCCUCAGUAUCAGCUACCUUUUGACAGAUUGCCAGCGUGUGUUCCUUGGGAACUGAACCCAUGAACGCAACUUUGUUAGCGCCAUGCUCUACCAGUCAAACUACAGCAACAAUAUAACUGUUGUUGGAAAUUUACAAUAAAGGACAUCUUUGGUUUACAAACUGCCAUUAAAAGCAGAGCACAGUAAUUUGUAUUAGAUUAGCGGACCC
Long non-coding RNA from Cyprinus carpio carpio, 470 nucleotides. The record is from Ensembl. NCBI's taxonomy places the organism in Eukaryota, Metazoa, Chordata, Actinopteri, Cypriniformes, Cyprinidae.